RNAcentral lists this long non-coding RNA (218 nucleotides) under Gallus gallus (chicken). RNAcentral describes it as "long non-coding RNA NONGGAT004115". The record is from RNAcentral. Lineage: Eukaryota; Metazoa; Chordata; Aves; Galliformes; Phasianidae.
AUGACCUCAAGUUGUUCCAGGUGCAGACUACUUUCAUACAGUUCAGCCUCCAUGGCUCCUUGACCUGGGAGUGCAGAAGAAUUGAAUGCAGAAGGCAGAACUCCUUCUCCCACACACAGCCUUAUGCGAACAUCAUGGCUCAACUGCUUCUAGACUCAGGAUGGCAAGAGUGUUGUACUCUGUAGCAUUCUCAGUUACCCUUCGCUGCUAGAUGCUCU